RNAcentral lists this ribosomal RNA (820 nucleotides) under uncultured Geobacter sp. RNAcentral describes it as "bacterial SSU rRNA". It matches the Rfam family "Bacterial small subunit ribosomal RNA", at positions 36 to 839 of the family's 1533-position model. The record is from RNAcentral. Lineage: Bacteria; Pseudomonadati; Thermodesulfobacteriota; Desulfuromonadia; Geobacterales; Geobacteraceae.
CUUGCGGCGUGCUAACCAUGCAAGUCGAACGUGAUCCGCCCUUCGGGGUGGUGAAAGUGGCGCACGGGUGAGUAACGCGUGGAUAAUCUGCCCGAGGAUUUGGGAUAACAUCUCGAAAGGGGUGCUAAUACCGAAUAAGCCCACGGGGUCUACGGAUCUUGCGGGAAAAGGGGGGGACCUUCGGGCCUCCUGUCCUUGGAUGAGUCUGCGUACCAUUAGCUAGUUGGUGGGGUAAUGGCCUACCAAGGCGACGAUGGUUAGCUGGUCUGAGAGGAUGAUCAGCCACACUGGAACUGAGACACGGUCCAGACUCCUACGGGAGGCAGCAGUGGGGAAUUUUGCGCAAUGGGGGAAACCCUGACGCAGCAACGCCGCGUGGGUGAUGAAGGCCUUCGGGUCGUAAAGCUCUGUCUGGAGGGAAGAAAUGAUUGGGAGCUAAUACCUCUUGAUCUUGACGGUACCUCUGAAGGAAGCACCGGCUAACUCCGUGCCAGCAGCCGCGGUAAUACGGAGGGUGCAAGCGUUGUUCGGAAUUAUUGGGCGUAAAGCGCGUGUAGGCGGUCUUUUAAGUCUGAUGUGAAAGCCCCGGGCUCAACCUGGGAAGUGCAUUGGAAACUGGGAGGCUUGAGUACGGGAGAGGAGAGUGGAAUUCCUAGUGUAGGAGUGAAAUCCGUAGAUAUUAGGAGGAACACCGGUGGCGAAGGCGGCUCUCUGGACCGAUACUGACGCUGAGACGCGAAAGCGUGGGUAGCAAACAGGAUUAGAUACCCUGGUAGUCCACGCCGUAACGAUGAGUACUAGUGUUGCGGGUAUUGACCCC